GGAUUGUGGCUUAGUGGUAGAGUGUUUGCCUAGUAUGUGUGAGGCCCUGAGUUUGAUUCUCAGCACCA
RNAcentral lists this transfer RNA (68 nucleotides) under Marmota monax (woodchuck). Its description in RNAcentral is "tRNA.Thr". The stretch from base 5 to 65 matches the Rfam family "tRNA", at positions 6 to 65 of the family's 71-position model. From Rfam's summary of the family: Transfer RNA (tRNA) molecules are approximately 80 nucleotides in length. The record is from RNAcentral. Lineage: Eukaryota; Metazoa; Chordata; Mammalia; Rodentia; Sciuridae.